RNAcentral lists this ribosomal RNA (171 nucleotides) under Triticum aestivum (bread wheat). RNAcentral's name for it is "partial small subunit ribosomal RNA". Lineage: Eukaryota; Viridiplantae; Streptophyta; Magnoliopsida; Poales; Poaceae. The record is from RNAcentral.
AUGGGGCACUCCAACGUCUGGAACUCCCACCCCAAGAACUACGGGCCCGGCUCCCGCGUCUGCCGGGUCUGUGGAAACUCCCAUGGACUGAUCAGGAAGUAUGGGCUGAUGUGCUGCAGGCAGUGUUUCCGCAGCAACGCCAAGGACAUUGGCUUCAUCAAGUACCGUUAA